AGGGUUUGAUCAUGGCUCAGAACGUACGCUGGCGGCACGCCUAACACAUGCAAGUCGAACGAAGUAGCAAUACUUAGUGGCAGACGGGUGAGUAACAUGUAGGUAUCUACCCUUUGGCCUGGAAUAACACGAGGAAACUUGUGCUAAUACUGGAUAAGUCUUUACGGAGAAAGCUUUAUGCACCAUUGGAUGAGCCUGCACUUGAUUAGUUUGUUGGUAGGGUAAUGGCCUACCAAGACUGUGAUCAAUAGCUGAUUUGAGAGGAUGAUCAGCCACAUUGGGACUGAGACACGGCCCAAACUCCUACGGGAGGCAGCAGUGGGGAAUCUUGCACAAUGGAGGAAACUCUGAUGCAGCGAUGCCGCGUGAGUGAAGAAGGCCUUUGGGUUGUAAAGCUCUUUCGUCGGGGAAGAAAAUGACUGUACCCGAAUAAGAAGGUCCGGCUAACUUCGUGCCAGCAGCCGCGGUAAUACGAAGGGACCUAGCGUAGUUCGGAAUUACUGGGCUUAAAGAGUUCGUAGGUGGUUGAAAAAGUUGGUGGUGAAAUCCCAGAGCUUAACUCUGGAACUGCCAUCAAAACUUUUCAGCUAGAGUUUGAUAGAGGAAAGCAGAAUUUCUAGUGUAGAGGUGAAAUUCGUAGAUAUUAGAAAGAAUACCAAUUGCGAAGGCAGCUUUCUGGAUCAUUACUGACACUGAGGAACGAAAGCAUGGGUAGCGAAGAGGAUUAGAUACCCUCGUAGUCCAUGCCGUAAACGAUGUGUGUUAGACGUUGGAAAUUUAUUUUCAGUGUCGCAGCGAAAGCAAUAAACACACCGCCUGGGGAGUACGACCGCAAGGUUAAAACUCAAAUGAAUUGACGGGGACCCGCACAAGUAGUGGAGCAUGUGGUUUAAUUCGAAGAUACGCGCAGAACCUUACCAACACUUGACAUGUUCGUCGCGACUCUAAGAGAUUAGAGUUUUCGGUUCGGCCGGACGAAACACAGGUGCUGCAUGGCUGUCGUCAGCUCGUGUCGUGAGAUGUUGGGUUAAGUCCCGCAACGAGCGCAACCCUCACUUUUAGUUGCCAUCAUUAAGUUGGGCACUCUGAAAGAACUGCCAGUGAUAAGCUGGAGGAAGGUGGGGAUGACGUCAAGUCCUCAUGGCCCUUACGUGUUGGGCUACACACGUGCUACAAUGGUAUCUACAACAGGAAGCAAGACUGCGAGGUCAAGCAAAUCCUUAAAAGAUACCUCAGUUCGGAUUGCACUCUGCAACUCGAGUGCAUGAAGCUGGAAUUACUAGUAAUCGUGGAUCAGCGUGCCACGGUGAAUGCGUUCCCGGGUCUUGUACACACCGCCCGUCACACCAUGGGAGUUGGUUCUACCUUAAGGCAAGGUUUCAAACCCUUGACCACGGUAUAGUCAGCGACUGGGGUGAAGUCAUAACAAGGUAACCGUA
This 1439-nucleotide ribosomal RNA is filed under the name uncultured bacterium. Its description in RNAcentral is "bacterial SSU rRNA". It matches the Rfam family "Bacterial small subunit ribosomal RNA". The record is from RNAcentral.